AGGCAUGCACCCACUCAUUAGAUCGAUCGAUGUGCUCAAGCUUAAAACUCAAUCAAGCAAAGAGGUACAGCAAGGCAGCAUGGCUGUACGGGCGCGUCAGUGUGCUGUGCCAAUCAUACAGCCCAACGGAUCGACCCGUCGACGGAGCCAUCAAGGAGAGGAAAAAAAAGAAAAAAGAAAUUAAAAGCCAUUAUUCGUCGCC
Molecule: long non-coding RNA, 202 nt
Filed under: Brachypodium distachyon (stiff brome)
Lineage: Eukaryota; Viridiplantae; Streptophyta; Magnoliopsida; Poales; Poaceae
Description: long non-coding RNA (BDIS_LNC001597)
Source: RNAcentral